This 425-nucleotide ribosomal RNA is filed under the name uncultured bacterium. RNAcentral describes it as "bacterial SSU rRNA". It matches the Rfam family "Bacterial small subunit ribosomal RNA", at positions 354 to 796 of the family's 1533-position model. The record is from RNAcentral.
GUGGGGAAUCUUAGACAAUGGGCGCAAGCCUGAUCUAGCCAUGCCGCGUGGGUGAUGAAGGCCUUAGGGUCGUAAAGCCCUUUCGCCGGGGAAGAUAAUGACGGUACCCGGUAAAGAAACCCCGGCUAACUCCGUGCCAGCAGCCGCGGUAAUACGGAGGGGGUUAGCGUUGUUCGGAAUGACUGGGCGUAAAGCGCGCGUAGGCGGGCUGGAAAGUCAGAGGUGAAAGCCCGGGGCUCAACCCCGGAAUGGCCUUUGAAACUCCCAGCCUUGAGUUCGAGAGAGGUGAGUGGAAUUCCGAGUGUAGAGGUGAAAUUCGUAGAUAUUCGGAGGAACACCAGUGGCGAAGGCGGCUCACUGGCUCGACACUGACGCUGAGGUGCGAAAGCGUGGGGAGCAAACAGGAUUAGAAACCCCGGUAGUCC